RNAcentral lists this ribosomal RNA (253 nucleotides) under uncultured bacterium. RNAcentral describes it as "partial 16S ribosomal RNA". It matches the Rfam family "Bacterial small subunit ribosomal RNA", at positions 524 to 776 of the family's 1533-position model. The record is from RNAcentral.
UACGUAGGGGGCAAGCGUUGUCCGGAUUUAUUGGGCGUAAAGCGCACGCAGGCGGUCUCUUAAGUUUUGAGUGACAGGUGGUGGCUCAACUACCACAGGCCUUGGAAAACUGGGAGACUUGAGGACUUCAGAGGGAUGCGGAAUUCCAGGUGGAGCGGUGAAAUGCGUAGAGAUCUGGAAGAACACCAAAGGCGAAGGCAGCAUUCUGGGAAGUACCUGACGCUCAUGUGCGAAAGCUAGGGGAGCGAACGGG